GCAGGAUUCAGCAAAUUAUUGUUGCAUAAUCAACUCAUGCAACGGCAGGAUUCAUGACAGUAUAAAUCAAUAAUCACUGCAAGCUACAAUCAAGGAUUAGUCAAUGAAUACUAGGAUCGGUUUCUUGUAUGAUUAUUAUUACUAUAGCUAGAAUCAGGGAUUCGGUUUCAAUUCUUUUCUUUAUAAGCUUUCCAUACUUAGCACUCUGUAUCUUGUAUAUAUAUUACGUUCUGCAGUUGAAUGAAUUAAGCAAAAUUCAAAACUUUUGUCUUCUCCUUUAUGGUAUCAGAGCUUUUCAAACUCUAACGAGUAUCAUUCCUAAACCUUCACCAUGUCUUCUUCCGCAUCCAUUAAUUCAAUCCCUGACCAGAUCAUUACUAUCAAUUCUGCUACUGCCAUCAAUGAAAAACUCACAGCCUCCACCUUUCCACAAUGGAGAGCACAGUUUGAAGCCUUACUUAUUGGCUAUGAUCUCAUGAAUUUUGUUACUGGUGAUCUCCAGUGUCCUGCAAUUGAUACUGAAAACUCUAUUGUCUCCAGAUCUGAAAACUCUCGCUGGAUUCGACAAGAUAAAUUAAUUCUUCAUGCACUGCUAGCCUCAACGUCCACCACCAUCACACCUCUGCUUGCUUCAUGCAAAACCUCCUAUGAAGCAUGGAACAAACUAACACGUUUGUAUGCAGGAAAAUCACGCACCCGUGCAAUGCAGUUGAAGGAGGAUCUCACCCUCAAUCAUCGUGGCAGCAGGACUGUCACUGAAUUUCUCCAGGCGGUUAAACUUACAGCUGAUGAACUUGCCAGGAUUGAUCAUCCUGUUACUGAUGAUGAUCUGACUCUUUAUGUUUUAAAUGGCCUAGGUUCAGACUUUCGGGAAAUUGCUGCACCAAUACGAGCCAGAGAACAUCCCAUUCGGUUUGAGGAACUACAUGAUUUAUUAAUUGGCCAUGAAAGUUAUCUUCGUCGGUUGGAACAACAAACCAUGCAGCCGCUAGUCUCAACAGCAAAUUUUACUCAACGAAGGCAUUUCCCUGCUGGAAAUAGUGGACAACGUUUUUACUCCAAAAGCCGUGACAACACUAAACGCAGCACAUACAAUUCAGGUUUUCGCAGAUAUAAACCUAAGUGUCAGCUAUGUGAUCAGUUGGGUCACACGGCUAAAACAUGUCCCAAAAGCAAUUCCUCUGAUUUUUCUGCAAACUGUGCUGCAUCCUCGAAAAGCAAGGAUUCGAAAUGGCUAGUGGAUUCGGCAGCCUCUCAUAAUAUGACGACUAAUCUUUCAAAUCUGUCUAUUCAUUCUGAAUAUGAUGGCACAGAUGAAGUAGUGCUUGGUGAUGGAUCAGGUUUGCAAGUAUCUCAUACUGGGUCAUUAUCGUUCGUCUCCCCCACCCGUGUUUUUCAUUUGAAAGACACUUUAUGUGUUCCUGAAAUUAAAAAAAAUUUAAUUUCUGUUCAUCACUUUACUAAACAGAAUAAUGUCUAUCUUGAGUUUCAUCCCUCUUAUUUUCUUGUGAAGGAUCGGAUCACGGGGGCGACACUACUAAAAGGUGCAUGUGAGGAUGGUGUGUACCCUUUGCCGGAAACAAUGACUAUGGCUUCCAAACCUGCUAUUGCGUAUGUUCAUGAACGCACAACAACAGAUGGAUGGCACAAACGACUUGGUCAUCCAUCAUCCAAAAUUUCUCAGCAUCUUAUUCGCACUUUUUCCUUACCUGUUAGAAAAACAAAAGAAAGUUCAUCUCUUUGUGUCUCAUGUUCUCACAAUAAAGCCCACCGACAAACAUUUCAAUCUCAUGGUUUUGUUAGCACAGCACCUCUCGAAUACAUUUAUACUGAUGUUUGGGGUCCGGCUCAUGACACUGGUAUUGAUGGUUCAAAAUACUACAUUAUUUUUGUUGACCACUAUACUAAAUAUAUAUGGCUUUAUCCUAUGUCCCAUAAAUCAUGUGUUCACAAUAUCUUUCCUCAAUUUCGAAAUCUUGUGGAAAACAGGUUCAAUACCAAAAUAAAAAGUCUAUAUUCUGACAAUGGAGGUGAAUACAUUGCUCUUAAAAAUUAUUUAUCUGUUCAUGGCAUUGGUCAUUAUACCACUGCUCCUCACACUCCACAGCAAAAUGGAAUAUCUGAAAGACGACAUCGACACCUUGUUGAAACAGGUCUCACUCUUCUCACUGAUGCCCAUAUGCCUCCUUCCUAUUGGCCUUAUGCAUUUCAAGCUGCAACAUACUUGAUCAAUCGUAUGCCAACCUCAACUCUGAAUAACAAAACACCCUUCGAAUUGCUUUUCCAUCAAAAUCCUAAUUACAUGAAAUUAAAGCAGUUUGGGUGUCUCUGUUAUCCCUUGACCAGACCCUAUAAUACACAUAAACUUCAACCUAAAGCCGUGUCAUGUAUUUUCGUGGGUUACUCUUUGACCCAAAAUGCUUAUUUGUGUCUCGAUCUCCUCAGCAGAAAAGUAUAUCACUCCAGACAUGUGCUCUUUGAUGAGACUGUCUUUCCCAUGGCUCCUAAUACUUGUUCUACUGCCAAGUCCCCACCAGCAACCAGUGCUCUCGGUUCUUCUCACCCGGUUGCCAUAAGUUUGCCAUUGUUAUAUCCUGCACGAUCACCAGAAUCAGUUGCUUCUGCAUUGGGUACAGCUGCUCCUUCAUCACUUUUGGUAGCUUCACCUCCGAUGUCAGUUCCUUCACAGGUAUGUUCUCCUACUCCUACUGAAACUUCAUCUGAAAAUAUUGUUAGUCAUGCUCCUGUGGUACUUCCUAUUGCUGAACCUCAUCCUCAUCGUAUGGUUACUCGCUCUAUGAAUAACAUCUAUAAGCCUAAAAGCUUGUUCCUGGUUACCAAACAUCCAUUACCUCCAUCUAUGGAACCUACAUCGGUGACACAGGCCUUAACUGACCCUCAGUGGCGUGCUGCAAUGUCCUCAGAGCUUACAGCUCUUAUGCGCCAUGAUACAUGGCAUCUGGUACCCCCUCCCAAGGGCUGCAACAUCAUUGGAUGUAAGUGGGUGUUUCGGGUAAAAAGGCUUGCUGAUGGCUCAAUUGACAGAUUUAAAGCCAGACUAGUGGCGAAAGGUUUCAAUCAAAGACCCGGUUUGGAUUACACUCAGACUUUUAGUCCAGUAGUAAAACCAGUGACUAUUCGCACUAUUUUAUCAGUUGCUGUGAUGCAUGGCUGGCCUCUCCAUCAGUUAGACGUAAACAAUGCGUUUCUCCAUGGCAAGCUCACAGAAGAAGUAUACAUGUCGCAGCCUCCUGGAUUUCGGGACCCAUCUUCACCAGAUUCUGUUUGCUGUCUUAAGAAGGCAAUUUAUGGCCUUAAACAAGCACCACGUGCUUGGUAUACUGCACUCAAACAAGCUAUUCUAGAAUUUGGUUUUGUCAAUACCAAGUCUGAUUCGUCCUUAUUUGUCUAUAAUGUUGAGUCCACUACUGCUUAUUUUCUGGUGUAUGUUGACGACUUAAUUAUCACUAGCAACAACUCUCAUUUUGCUGCAAGUAUUAUACAACAGCUUGGCAGGAAGUUCUCUCUUAAAGACUUGGGACCCUUGCAUUUCUUCCUUGGCAUUGAAGUUAUUCCCACACAGAAUGGGCUGUUUCUCACUCAGCAAAAUACAUCAGGGACUUCUUGCCAGAACUUGCAUGGAUGGAGCAAAAGAUGUCACCACUCCACUGUCAACUUCGGUCUCUUUGAAAUUAAAUGAUGGCUCAGCUGCUGUAAUCCUACUGAAUAUCGCAAGGUAAUUGGAGCAUUGCAGUAUCUUUCACUCACUCGACCCGACAUCAGCUUUGCAGUCAACAAAUUCACAGUUUGCAUGCCUUCUACAAUUCAUGGACUGCCACCAAGCGGUUGCUGCGUUAUCUGAAGAAUACAAUUUUCCAUGGCAUCUCAAUUCAGAAAAAUGUUACUCCUCUGCUUACAUGUUACUCAGACGCAGAUUGGGCUGGCAAUUUGGAUAAUCGUAGCUCUACUUCAGCCUAUCUUAUUAUGCUCGGUUCAAAUCUCAUCUCUUGGAGUUCCAGAAAACAGCGUGCAAUUGCCCGAUCAUCUACAGAGGCCGAAUAUCGUGCGCUUGCCACCGCUGCUUCUGAGUCUAUGUGGAUUUUAUCACUCUUUACUGAAAUUAAGUUGUCUCUUCCUCAGCCUCCACUGCUCUUAUGUGACAAUCUUGGUGCAACAAAUCUUAGUUUCAAUCCUGUCCAGCACUCACGCAUGAAACAUAUUCAAAUUGACUUACACUUUGUUCGGGAUCUUGUUCAGAAAAACUCUCUUACUGUUCGCCAUGUUCACACGAAUGAUCAACUUGCAGACCUGCUUACCAAACCACUCUCCAAGCAGCGCACAGAUUUUCUCAGGCACAAGAUCGGUCUCACCGAUGGGAGCCCGUUCUUGCGGGGCGUAUCAAGGAAAACAACACUGCCACCUCAUGUAAACCAUUAUUGCAAGAUUCAUGACAGCAAUCAAGGAAGAUUACACUGCCAACUCACGUGAAUUAUUAUUCCAUAAUCAACUCAUGCAACGGCAGGAUUCAGCAAAUUAUUGUUGCAUAAUCAACUCAUGCAACGGCAGGAUUCAUGACAGUAUAAAUCAAUAAUCACUGCAAGCUACAAUCAAGGAUUAGUCAAUGAAUACUAGGAUCGGUUUCUUGUAUGAUUAUUAUUACUAUAGCUAGAAUCAGGGAUUCGGUUUCAAUUCUUUUCUUUAUAAGCUUUCCAUACUUAGCACUCUGUAUCUUGUAUAUAUAUUACGUUC
RNAcentral lists this long non-coding RNA (4749 nucleotides) under Populus tremula. Its description in RNAcentral is "long non-coding RNA (PTRE_LNC002576)". Lineage: Eukaryota; Viridiplantae; Streptophyta; Magnoliopsida; Malpighiales; Salicaceae. The record is from RNAcentral.